UGGGGAAUAUUGCACAAUGGGCGCAAGCCUGAUGCAGCCAUGCCGCGUGUAUGAAGAAGGCCUUCGGGUUGUAAAGUACCUUCAGCGAGGAGGAAGGCGUUGUGGUUAAUAACCGCAACGAUUGACGUUACUCGCAGAAGAAGCACCGGCUAACUCCGUGCCAGCAGCCGCGGUAAUACGGAGGGUGCAAGCGUUAAUCGGAAUUACUGGGCGUAAAGCGCACGCAGGCGGUCUGUCAAGUCGGAUGUGAAAUCCCCGGGCUCAACCUGGGAACUGCGUCCGAAACUGGCAGGCUAGAGUCUUGUAGAGGGGGGUAGAAUUCCAGGUGUAGCGGUGAAAUGCGUAGAGAUCUGGAGGAAUACCGGUGGCGAAGGCGGCCCCCUGGACAAAGACUGACGCUCAGGUGCGAAAGCGUGGGGAGCAAACA
Molecule: ribosomal RNA, 427 nt
Filed under: uncultured bacterium
Lineage: Bacteria
Description: partial 16S ribosomal RNA
Rfam family: Bacterial small subunit ribosomal RNA
Source: RNAcentral